Long non-coding RNA from Mytilus californianus (California mussel), 2746 nucleotides. RefSeq lists it as uncharacterized. The record is from RefSeq and is a predicted model, not a curated record. The transcript is spliced from 3 exons. Lineage: Eukaryota; Metazoa; Mollusca; Bivalvia; Mytilida; Mytilidae.
AAACAUUUUAAAAUUAGUAAAUUAUGUUCUAAAAAAAAUAUUUGAUGAGUAUUCAUUGAAGAAAUGAAUAUAUAGCAAGCGAUAAGGAAUGUUAUUUUGCACUCGAUGAUGUCUGCGUAUUUAUCAUGUUUAUAGAUCGGUUAAAAACCCAAAACUAAUUUACAUAAUGGAAAUUUAGGCAAUAGCAAUACACCGGAAUGACCUCAAGAUCAUCCGCUGUAAAAAUAACUGUAUUAGACAUAUUAUAAAUGUUUUUCUCACAGUAGCCAUGUGAAGGGUGAGAACAUAUUUUCCAAGUCAGAAAACUGAAAACUAAAAGUUGUGAAAACAUCUAGCUACCCGACUGAGAAUUAUUUUACCAGUUUAAUAUUUAAAGAUACAUGUACUAAGUAUAUUAACAAGAUUUUCUAUUAAAAUAGCAAUAGUAAAUCCUGAGGUUGGAAUAGAACUUCCAAGGGGAGACAAAUUCAAUAAACAACAAGAUUUGUUAAUUCAAUGGGAGAUAACUCUGUAAAAUAUGCAAAUUUUAAUGCAGUUGAAAUUCAAAUCAUUAUUCUUUGACUUCCUUUUUUUUUCCAUCUUUAUAUUAAUUUUACAAACUUAGGUGUUGAUGUUAUACUAUUGUGAACAUGUAGUAAGAAAUCAAAACAAUAUUUAGUAAAGGUUUAUGUUGACAGAAAUGGAUUUAUAAAAUAUAUAAUAAUGUAUCCAUUUUAAUUCCUUUUUAGGUUCUUUCUGUGACAUGUUUUUCAUGGUGUUGGGAAUAAGACUUUGGGGUCUAAUACUUCUAAAAGGAAGGUUAACAUCACAGUUUGUCCGUAAGGAUUGAGGUUGGGAAUGGCAAUUGGAGCUGACUUUUAUGGUAACUUUAACUGUGGCUGCAUGAAAAUGAUUGGGUGACUGUACCAGUAAAGAAUGUAAUUCAGACAAUUUUUGUGUAUGUUUGAGAAAAUGUUUAUAAUUUUUUACCAAAAAUAAAAAUAGUGUAAAGAUUCUUCAUUUUCAACAAGAUUGUAAGUUAUAGAUAACUUAUUUUGAAUUUUAAAAUUUCUCUUUUUACCAUUAAAACCAAAGGAUAUAUUCAGGUAGCUCUACUCAUGUCCAUUCUUGACAAUUUUUUUGUCAUGCAUAUUGAUACUGAACUGGUUUUUGUAUCACCUUGACAGAUUCGAAAAGUGAGACAUAGGUAUGCUGUUUCUGGCGUCAGCUGCGGCGUCAACAAUGUAUUAGUUUGUGAUUAGGUCUAGUUUAUGGUGAACCACUAGUGGUAGGUCAAUGAUAUUUGGUAUGCAGUUGAAUUAGCAUUGGCACAUCUCAUUACCAUGGAGAUUAUUUGGCCCUGCCCCCUCAGUCAUGGUUUAUUGACUUUGAAACUUUGCUUAGUUUUCAUGCAUUAGUUUGUGAUAAGGUCAGUUCAUGGGGAAACACUAGUGGUAGGUCAAUGAUAUUUAGUAUGCAGUUGUAUAAGCAUUGGCAUAUCUCAUUUCCAUGAAGAUUAUUUGGCCCUGCCCCUUUAGUCAUGGUCUAUUGACUUUGAAACUUUUGCUUAGUUCACAAGCUGGUGUUUAUGUUUAGGUUUCUUUAAAGGGAAUGACAUGAAAAGUCAAUGGUAUUUGGUAUGCAGUUGUAUUAGCAUUGGCUUAUCUCAUUUCCAUGGAGAUUGUUUAGCCCUGUACCUUUAGUCAUGGUUCAUUGACUUUGAAUAUUUGCAUAACUUACAUUUAAAAGUAUUGUUAUUUCAAUUUCAACAUUUGCAUUAUCAAAAUAACAAAUAGGCGAGACAUAUCUCUGUGUUAACAGUUUAUUGGUAUGUAUAGUUUUGUUUUGAGUUCAUAGUUCAGAUUGUAUUCAUUAUUUUUUUCCCCUGUGGCUAGAUUUAAUUGGUACUUUGAAAAUUAAUUGAAAUUGACCACUUUUAUUUGAAGACCUACUCUUUUAGAUUUAUUAAUAAUGGUCCAUGUCUAGUCACUUCCAGAAGUUAAGAAUGGAGAAUCUUAAAAUAAAAGAAAAAAUGAAAUGUAUAUUUUGGCUUUCAACAUUGUUAAAUAUAUAUCUUUUCCGAAUGUUUUCAUUUUUUUUAUGCCCCUGCCAUAGGGAAAGGAGGCAUUAAGUGUUACUCUUGACGUCCUUCUGUCCUUUUGUUGUUCCUUUUGUCCCAUUUUUGUUUCCGCACUAACUUUUAAGAGUAAUGCCCCUUUAUCAGCUGGAAAGUUGCAAAUUUGUGCAGUGAGUCACUUACUUUUCUAGAGUUAUGCUCCUUUUUAAAAUUUUUAAAAUUGCAAAGCUUGAGCAAGGGCAUUGUGUCCUCAGACACAUUCUUCUUUUAUUUUUUAGCUGAGUUUGAUAUAAUUUAUUAUAUUUUUAUCAAUUGUUUUGUUCGGAAUAAUUAUACAUUUUUUUAUACUGUCUAAAGUAUACUUCCUGAGACAGUCUUCAGAGCAUUAGGUUUUGGACUCAGGUUUCCAACAUUUUCCCACUACAAAUUCAGUUUUUAAAGAAGUUUGACCAAGUUCACUCGUUUUAGUCGGUUGUCAUGGUUGUUCCUGGCAGGAAGAUUGUUGAUGAUAGAGAUUUUGUCAUUAUUUGGUAAUUAACUUAAAAUACAGCAUAGAAGCAUUUCAUCAAUUAUGAUUUUUAUGAUUAUCUUUUAUGUAUAUAUGCUUACAAUUUGUAUACAUGGAUAUUGUUUUAAAAAUCAUUAAAAUCUGGUGUCCAGACGAGCUGUCUGGGUUAUCAGCAACAUGAA